RNAcentral lists this ribosomal RNA (254 nucleotides) under uncultured bacterium. Its description in RNAcentral is "partial 16S ribosomal RNA". It matches the Rfam family "Bacterial small subunit ribosomal RNA", at positions 524 to 776 of the family's 1533-position model. The record is from RNAcentral.
UACGGGGGGAGCAAGCGUUGUUCGGAUUUACUGGGCGUAAAGGGCGCGUAGGCGGUCGUGACAAGUCACUUGUGAAAUCUCCGGGCUUAACUCGGAACGGUCAAGUGAUACUGUCGGGCUAGAGUCCGGAAGAGGCGAGUGGAAUUCCUGGUGUAGCGGUGGAAUGCGCAGAUAUCAGGAGGAACACCGAUGGCGAAGGCAGCUCGCUGGGACGGUACUGACGCUGAGGCGCGAAAGCGUGGGGAGCGAACAGG